This 89-nucleotide ribosomal RNA is filed under the name Chinchilla lanigera (long-tailed chinchilla). Lineage: Eukaryota; Metazoa; Chordata; Mammalia; Rodentia; Chinchillidae. The record is from RNAcentral.
CAUACCACCCUGAAUGCAUCUGAUCUCAGAAUGUAAGCAGGAUUGGGCCUGGUUAGUACUUGGAUGGGAGCCCAAUAAGAUUCUUUGUA